CUACGGGUGGCUGCAGUGGGGAAUAUUGCACAAUGAGCGAAAGCUUGAUGCAGCCAUACCGCGUGUGUGAAGAAGGCCUGAGGGUUGUAAAGCACUUUCAAUUGGGAGGAAGGUUCAGUAGUUAAUACCUGCUGGAUUUGACGUUACCUUUAGAAGAAGCACCGGCUAACUCUGUGCCAGCAGCCGCGGUAAUACAGAGGGUGCAAGCGUUAUUAGGAAUUACUGGGCGUAAAGCGCGCGUAGGCGGAUUAGUAAGUCAGUUGUGAAAGCCCUGGGCUCAACCUAGGAACUGCAUCUGAUACUGCUAGUCUAGAGUUUAGUAGAGGGAAGGGGAAUUCCAGGUGUAGCAGUGAAAUGCGUAGAUAUCUGGAGGAACAUCAGUGGCGAAGGCGCCUUCCUGGACUAAAACUGACGCUGAGGUGCGAAAGCGUGGGUAGCGAACGGGAUUAGAUACCCUGGUAGUC
This 464-nucleotide ribosomal RNA is filed under the name uncultured bacterium. Its description in RNAcentral is "partial 16S ribosomal RNA". It matches the Rfam family "Bacterial small subunit ribosomal RNA", at positions 339 to 795 of the family's 1533-position model. The record is from RNAcentral.